ACGUAGGGGGCAAGCGUUAUCCGGAUUUACUGGGUGUAAAGGGAGUGUAGACGGCGAGGCAAGUCUGAUGUGAAAGCCCGGGGCUCAACCCCGUGACUGCAUUGGAAACUGUUUUGCUUGAGUGCCGGAGAGGUAAGCGGAAUUCCUAGUGUAGCGGUGAAAUGCGUAGAUAUUAGGAGGAACACCAGUGGCGAAGGCGGCUUACUGGACGGCAACUGACGUUGAGGCUCGAAAGCGUGGGGAGCAAACAG
This 251-nucleotide ribosomal RNA is filed under the name uncultured bacterium. RNAcentral describes it as "partial 16S ribosomal RNA". It matches the Rfam family "Bacterial small subunit ribosomal RNA", at positions 525 to 775 of the family's 1533-position model. The record is from RNAcentral.